ACCGCCCUGCGGGGUGCGACAGCAGGCAUUAUUUAACCUACAAAGCGUUAAUACGGGACCGCGAUCACCGUCCCCGGGCGCAGACCUCCCGCGUGCUUGCGCGCGGAAGUUGGGAGCACCUUAAAGGACGGCUAGCGAACCCACCUGCAAUAGCGGGUUAUUAACCACCUGCAUCGGCCUUGUGGGGCAAAA
Non-coding RNA from Clostridium sp. SCN 57-10, 192 nucleotides. The record is from Rfam. Lineage: Bacteria; Bacillati; Bacillota; Clostridia; Eubacteriales; Clostridiaceae.